CCGCUCAUUGCCAUGACUUGCUGGGGAAGACGAGAGGAGGUCAGCGGUGAGCACAAACAUAGAGCCUCCUGUAGGGGCCCUUGAGGAUGGCCGAGCCGGUCUUCAAGGGUGGUUUAAAUAAUGAGCUCUGUGUGACUGAAUAAAAGUAGAGCUCAAGAUAAAAUCUGAAAUAAAUGAAAAGCAAUUGGUAAACAGCUGCUGUCACAUGCUCUGUUGUGUCUUUGAUGAGUUUCAAUUAAAAAUAGCCCUAAUACAUCCAAAAAAAAAAAAAAAAAACCCAUGGCGAAUUCCCUUUAUUGUCCCUUUAAUGUGUUACUAAGGAGUUAUUGGUAUCAUUUCAUGGCUCCAGCACAAAUGCCUCUAGGAUUUAUUGCUGGGUUCACAUCUCUGCUCUUUUAUGGAUUCCUUCCAAGAGGGGCUUGAAUCCGGGGCUCCCAUUAUAUGUCCCUUGUGGUUGGUUGGCUGGAGCAAGCUGCAUCAGCAAAUGGCAAUAAAGCUCACCAAGGCAACAACUGUUCUUCACCAGUGUAGUUUGAUUUAGAGCAGAAUGUUUCCAGAUGGGUUCUGAUGUAACCCUUUUCCUUCCAUCUCCCGAUGACACUGAAACUGAAAAAUCAGUCGCAGCACCCAGGUUUUGCUGUCCGUGAACAUGGGGUUCCUGGGGUCAGCAGCGUGGCUAGUGCCUUCCUCAGUCCCGCUUCUUUAACCAGAGGCGGUGGCCAGACCUCAUGAGCCAUCAUCUAGCAGUUACAUUACUGCAUGACAAACUGUCGGAGAGAAAGCUUAGAUCUGCCAGGCUCUACCCCCAGGAAGGAGAGGCCGACCGUCGGUGGUACCAGCUCUAACAGAAAGCCAGUCUUCGGCCGCCGGUGGCCUGCGUGGGCUGGGCUGGGCAGCCGGUGCCUGCAGACUUCUCGAACCUGCCCCCGGGGGUGCUCCCUGGCUCAGCCUCUGUGGAGGAGGCACGAUCAGCGCCAUGAAAGGAGCUUGAGUUCGGGGACACUAAUUAGAGGACUGUCUCCCAUGGAAGUGCAACCCCUGAGCCACCAAGCAGGGAAGACGGGCUGUCCGGCGUGCGUCUGGCUUGGCAAGCAGGCCCGGACACAAUACUCUCUCGUCCUGUACGUGCCAGGCCAAGGAAGGACCGCGAUCAGACUUCCUGUCUUCAUUGCCACACCCUCAGAAAAUCGUACUGAGGAAAAUGUGAGAUUUCCGUUUUAACAGUGAUGGGGAGAGGACGUCUUUCUCAAGCACGACCCAAGUCCAUAAAACAUAAAAACAGAUUUCACUGUAUAAAAUCGCAACACUUCCAUACUGCAAGGAUACUA
RNAcentral lists this long non-coding RNA (1328 nucleotides) under Canis lupus familiaris (dog). RNAcentral describes it as "lncRNA (ENSCAFG00000043526.2)". The record is from RNAcentral. Lineage: Eukaryota; Metazoa; Chordata; Mammalia; Carnivora; Canidae.